AUGUAAUGAAAUUCCUAUAAUGUUAAAGCAUUGGAUCCCAUUAGAACUCCACAGUUAAGCAUUCUUGGGAUAAAUUACUACUGGGAUGAGUGACCUCCUAGGAAGACUUAGUGUUUUACAUG
Non-coding RNA from Picea glauca (white spruce), 122 nucleotides. Lineage: Eukaryota; Viridiplantae; Streptophyta; Pinopsida; Pinales; Pinaceae. The record is from Rfam.